Molecule: ribosomal RNA, 318 nt
Filed under: uncultured bacterium
Lineage: Bacteria
Description: bacterial SSU rRNA
Rfam family: Bacterial small subunit ribosomal RNA
Source: RNAcentral
AUUGAACGCUAGCGGGAUGCCUUACACAUGCAAGUCGAACGGCAGCAUAAGAGAGCUUGCUCUCUUGAUGGCGAGUGGCGAACGGGUGAGUAAUGUAUCGGAACGUGCCCAGUAGUGGGGGAUAACAUCCGGAAACGGGUGCUAAUACCGCAUAAUAACCGACACCACAUGGUGUAAGUUUGAAAGAUGGCUCUGCUGUCACUUAUAGAUGACCUUGCGGUGCAUUAGCUAGUUGGUGGGGUAAUAGCCUACCAAGGCCAUGAUGCAUAGCCGACCUGAGAGGGUGAUCGGCCACAUUGGGACUGAGACACGGCCCAA